GCUCUGGUGGCUUAGUUGGUUAAAGCGUCGGUCUCAUAUACAUGACGCACCUGGUCGCCCAGGUGCACCACUCAGGUAUCCGAAGGUCGUGAGUUCGAUUCUCACCCAGAGCA
Molecule: non-coding RNA, 113 nt
Organism: Zopfochytrium polystomum
Lineage: Eukaryota; Fungi; Chytridiomycota; Chytridiomycetes; Chytridiales; Chytridiaceae
Source: the annotation of a GenBank genome assembly